RNAcentral lists this ribosomal RNA (98 nucleotides) under Cyrtochilum meirax. Its description in RNAcentral is "partial 18S ribosomal RNA". It matches the Rfam family "Eukaryotic small subunit ribosomal RNA", at positions 1734 to 1831 of the family's 1831-position model. Lineage: Eukaryota; Viridiplantae; Streptophyta; Magnoliopsida; Asparagales; Orchidaceae. RNAcentral also lists the same sequence under 6 other names. The record is from RNAcentral.
CGCCCGUGACUCGGCGAGAAGUCCAUUGAACCUUAUCAUUUAGAGGAAGGAGAAGUCGUAACAAGGUUUCCGUAGGUGAACCUGCGGAAGGAUCAUUG